UCUCUCACUAGACUACUCUCUCUCUCUAAACCUUUGAAAAAUGGAAGAACGAAAGUGUGGAGAGGAAGGGAAGCAGGAGGGCAAUUUAUAGAAUUUUAGAACCAUUGAAUUCGUGCCAAGUGGUGAAAUCUAAUGAAGAGAGAGGAGAAAAAGAUGUUUGGCAUAAAAAAUGAGGGAGGAGAGCCUCCUCCACCAGCACACUACCCAAGGUGGUAGAGCUCCGACCAGCAUGCUGCAGGCUAGCCUGCAGGUGCACAGGCUUCAUGUCAUGCGUGAAGGACUACUGCGCAUAAGCCCUAGGAGCACAAGGCCUAUCUACAUAGGCCUGCUGCGCGGACGGUGCGUGCACAGUGUGUGGCGCCUGUCCGCGCGCGAGGUGUUAGAUGGACGACCUACCUGGGAAGGACAGGAUACGCAUAGGUCUUGAUCCUGCGUCGUGCAUGCUGUGCGCAAGUCCCGUGCGUGGGUGGGGAAGGGACAUGUGCGUUGUGUAUACAUACUGUGCGUGGGUGCGUGCAGAUGGGACGUGCACGUUGUGCUCACGGUUCGAGGUCAGGACCUUCGCGCAUCCUGCGUGCAUAGACAAGCAGUCCACGCU
RNAcentral lists this long non-coding RNA (598 nucleotides) under Carica papaya (papaya). RNAcentral's name for it is "long non-coding RNA (CPAP_LNC010985)". Lineage: Eukaryota; Viridiplantae; Streptophyta; Magnoliopsida; Brassicales; Caricaceae. The record is from RNAcentral.